GACGAACGCUGGCGGCGUGCUUAACACAUGCAAGUCGAACGGAAAGGCCCUGCUUUUGUGGGGUGCUCUAGUGGCUAACUGGUGAGUAACACGUGAGUACCCUGCACUUUACUUUUGGAUAACUUCAGGAAACUUUGUCUAAUCCCGGCUAGGAGCUACUGCUGAAUGGUGUGGGUUGGAAAGUUUCGGCGGUUGGGGCUGGACUUGCGUCUUAUCAGCUUGUUGGUGGGGUAGUGGCUUACCAAGGCUUUGACGGGUAGCCGGCCUGCGAGGGUGACCGGCCACAUUGGGACUGAGAUACGGCCCAGACUCCUACGGGAGGCAGCAGUGGGGAAUAUUGCACAAUGGGCGGAAGCCUGAUGCAGCAACGCCGCGUGCGGGAUGACGGCCUUCGGGUUGUAAACCGCUUUCGCCUGUGACGAAGCGUGAGUGACGGUAAUGGGUAAAGAAGCACCGGCUAACUACGUG
Molecule: ribosomal RNA, 468 nt
Filed under: uncultured bacterium
Lineage: Bacteria
Description: partial 16S ribosomal RNA
Rfam family: Bacterial small subunit ribosomal RNA
Source: RNAcentral